CGCCUACGGGGGCAGCAGUAGGGAAUCUUCCACAAUGGACGAAAGUCUGAUGGAGCAACGCCGCGUGAGUGAAGAAGGGUUUCGGCUCGUAAAGCUCUGUUGGUAGUGAAGAAAGAUAGAGGUAGUAACUGGCCUUUAUUUGACGGUAAUUACUUAGAAAGUCACGGCUAACUACGUGCCAGCAGCCUCGGUAAUACGUAGGUGGCAAGCGUUUUCCGGAUUUAUUGGGCGUAAACCGAGCGCAGGCGGUUCCAUAAGU
This 259-nucleotide ribosomal RNA is filed under the name uncultured bacterium. RNAcentral's name for it is "partial 16S ribosomal RNA". It matches the Rfam family "Bacterial small subunit ribosomal RNA", at positions 336 to 588 of the family's 1533-position model. The record is from RNAcentral.